CGCGGGAAUUCGAUUGGCGGACGGGUGAGUAAUAUUUAGGGAUCUGCCUUUGAGUGGGGGACAACCAUUGGAAACGAUGGCUAAUACCGCAUAAUGUUUACGGACCAAAGGGGGCUUUCGGGCUCCCGCUCAAAGAGGAACCUAAGCGAGAUUAGCUAGUUGGUGGGGUAAAGGCCUACCAAGGCGACGAUCUCUAGCUGUUCUGAGAGGAAGAUCAGCCACACUGGGACUGAGACACGGCCCAGACUCCUACGGGAGGCAGCAGUGGGGAAUAUUGCACAAUGGGGGAAACCCUGAUGCAGCCAUGCCGCGUGUGUGAAGAAGGCCUUCGGGUUGUAAAGCACUUUCAGUUGUGAGGAAAAGUUAGUAGUUAAUACCUGCUAGCCGUGACGUUAACAACAGAAGAAGCACCGGCUAACUCCGUGCCAGCAGCCGCGGUAAUACGGAGGGUGCGAGCGUUAAUCGGAAUUACUGGGCGUAAAAGCGCACGCAGGCGGUUUGUUUAAGCUAGAUGUGAAAGCCCCGGGCUCAACCUGGGAUGGUCAUUUAGAACUGGCAGACUAGAGUUCUUGGAGAGGGGAGUG
RNAcentral lists this ribosomal RNA (584 nucleotides) under uncultured bacterium. RNAcentral describes it as "bacterial SSU rRNA". It matches the Rfam family "Bacterial small subunit ribosomal RNA", at positions 82 to 663 of the family's 1533-position model. The record is from RNAcentral.